RNAcentral lists this ribosomal RNA (616 nucleotides) under uncultured Legionella sp. RNAcentral describes it as "bacterial SSU rRNA". It matches the Rfam family "Bacterial small subunit ribosomal RNA", at positions 242 to 849 of the family's 1533-position model. The record is from RNAcentral. Lineage: Bacteria; Pseudomonadati; Pseudomonadota; Gammaproteobacteria; Legionellales; Legionellaceae.
UAGCUAGUUGGUGGGGUAAGGGCCUACCAAGGCGACGAUCGGUAGCUGGUCUGAGAGGAUGGCCAGCCACACUGGAACUGAGACACGGUCCAGACUCCUACGGGAGGCAGCAGUGGGGAAUAUUGGACAAUGGGGGCAACCCUGAUCCAGCAAUGCCGCGUGUGUGAAGAAGGCCUGAGGGUUGUAAAGCACUUUCAGUGGGGAGGAGGGUUGAUAGGUUAAGAGCUAAUUAACUGGACGUUACCCACAGAAGAAGCACCGGCUAACUCCGUGCCAGCAGCCGCGGUAAUACGGAGGGUGCGAGCGUUAAUCGGAAUUACUGGGCGUAAAGGGUGCGUAGGUGGUUGAUUAAGUUAUCUGUGAAAUUCCUGGGCUUAACCUGGGACGGUCAGAUAAUACUGGUUGACUCGAGUAUGGGAGAGGGUAGUGGAAUUUCCGGUGUAGCGGUGAAAUGCGUAGAGAUCGGAAGGAACACCAGUGGCGAAGGCGGCUACCUGGCCUAAUACUGACACUGAGGCACGAAAGCGUGGGGAGCAAACAGGAUUAGAUACCCUGGUAGUCCACGCUGUAAACGAUGUCAACUAGCUGUUGGUUAUAUGAAAAUAAUUAGUGGCGC